This 240-nucleotide unclassified non-coding RNA is filed under the name uncultured fungus. Its description in RNAcentral is "sequence contains ITS2". The stretch from base 1 to 52 matches the Rfam family "5.8S ribosomal RNA", at positions 103 to 154 of the family's 154-position model. The record is from RNAcentral. Lineage: Eukaryota; Fungi.
AACGCACAUUGCGCCCUCUGGUAUUCCGGGGGGCAUGCCUGUUCGAGCGUCAUUACAACCCUCAAGCUUCGCUUGGUAUUGGGUGUUACCACCUGUGGUACACCUCAAAAUCAUCGGCGGUGCCAUCUGGCUUCUAGUGUAGUAAUACUUCUCGCUAUGGAGUUUGGGUGAGCGCUUGCCAUCAACCCCUAAUUUUCAAAGGUUGACCUCGGAUCAGGUAGGGAUACCCGCUGAACUUAA